Molecule: ribosomal RNA, 166 nt
Filed under: uncultured bacterium
Lineage: Bacteria
Description: partial 16S ribosomal RNA
Rfam family: Bacterial small subunit ribosomal RNA
Source: RNAcentral
GCUAGUAAUCGCGAAUCAGAAUGUCGCGGUGAAUACGUUCCCGGGUCUUGUACACACCGCCCGUCACACCAUGGGAGUCGGGAAUGCCCGAAGUCAGUGACCCAACCUUUGGAGGGAGCUGCCGAAGGCAGGUCUGAUAACUGGGGUGAAGUCGUAACAAGGUAGC